This 254-nucleotide ribosomal RNA is filed under the name uncultured bacterium. RNAcentral describes it as "partial 16S ribosomal RNA". It matches the Rfam family "Bacterial small subunit ribosomal RNA", at positions 524 to 776 of the family's 1533-position model. The record is from RNAcentral.
UACGGAGGAUCCAAGCGUUAUCCGGAAUUACUGGGCGUAAAGAGUUGCGUAGGUGGCACUGUAAGUCGGUAGUGAAAGCGUGGGGCUCAACCCCAUACACAUUAUCGAAACUGCAGAGCUAGAGGACAAGAGAGGUUAUUGGAAUUCCUAGUGUAGGAGUGAAAUCCGUAGAUAUUAGGAGGAACACCGAUGGCGUAGGCAGAUAACUGGCUUGUUCCUGACACUAAGGCACGAAAGCGUGGGUAGCAAACGGG